RNAcentral lists this ribosomal RNA (315 nucleotides) under uncultured eukaryote. Its description in RNAcentral is "partial 18S ribosomal RNA". It matches the Rfam family "Eukaryotic small subunit ribosomal RNA", at positions 1470 to 1796 of the family's 1831-position model. The record is from RNAcentral.
CCCUUAGACGUUCUGGGCCGCACGCGCGCUACACUGACCAGUGCAACAAGCAUCCGUCCUUGGCCGACAGGCCCGGGCAAUCUUUGAACGCUGGUCGUGAUGGGGAUAGACUUUUGCAAUUUUCGGUCUUCAACGAGGAAUUCCUAGUAAACGCAAGUUAUCAACUUGCAUUGAUUACGUCCCUGCCCUUUGUACACACCGCCCGUCGCACCUACCGAUUGAAUGGUCCGGUGAAGCCUCCGGAUUGGCGCGCACCUCGGUGCCGCCGAGAAGUUGGCUAAACCUUACCAUUUAGAGGAAGGUGAAGUCGUAACA